Long non-coding RNA from Planococcus citri (citrus mealybug), 947 nucleotides. RefSeq lists it as uncharacterized. The record is from RefSeq and is a predicted model, not a curated record. The transcript is spliced from 2 exons. NCBI's taxonomy places the organism in Eukaryota, Metazoa, Arthropoda, Insecta, Hemiptera, Pseudococcidae.
UGGUCGUGGCUGGCGACGACGACGACGAAUUUAUUCACUCGGUCACGUGUUUGUAGUGUUCAUAAGGUUCUAAUAAUCGACCUCAUAAAUCAUUCUUCGAAUUUAUCGCAAGUAGCCGGACAGGGACAGAUAUUGUAACAGCUACUGUAAUCAGUAUGGUGAGAAAUAUAUUUCUGAUGUGUCGGUUGUGCACCUUGUUUAUUAUUUUUUCCCAUCAAUACCUACUUCAGUACUUCAUGAUAAAUCAAUGGUGAAAUCAUUUUCUCAGCUUGAGGAACUUUGGACUUCGGUUGAGGGGGUCUUAAUUUUCAGUCAGUUCACAUUCAUCUUAAUUUGGAUUUUUGCAUCAAUUGAAUCAGCUCUGAGAACGUCAACCGGGUGUCUUAUUUUUCAAGCUAUACGAACUUUAAAACAACACUGAAGCUUAUAAAAUUCAAGUCGAUGCGAUCUCGCCAAUCAGAAAUACUGAUCUUAAAACACCUUGCCACAUGAUGGGAUGAGAUGGGCCAAUAAAAGAUGCUCGGAAGCUGUUUAGUGAUUUCAAGUCCGGAAAAACAUACCAUACAAAUAUUAUUUUUUAAACAGAGGUUUAAAAAUCUUUUUGAUUUAUUUUCGCUUCUGCUUAUUUCAGUAUUUUUCAUACUAUGAAGUGUAGUUUCAUAAUUUCAAAAUAAUUUCUAAAAUAUUGAUUCGAAGUCGAAAAAAAUUUAUUUCAAUUUAGAUUACGAAUUUUUCCAGCAAUGUUACGGAAAAACACUACACGAUACGAAACUAACCGAACUAAAUAGAUCGUUCUCUAAUUACCUAUACCAGUUCUUACCUUAUUUAUAAUCUGUAUGCUCGACAACAAAUAUAAUAAUAUAAUUUACAGGUAAAGUACAACCAUAGAGACUGAUAUAAUUUAAAAUUAAUCAAAACACAAUCGUAUUAAAUAAUUUCAAUUACAA